AUUGAACGCUGGCGGCAGGCCUAACACAUGCAAGUCGAGCGGAUGAAGGGAGCUUGCUCCUGGAUUCAGCGGCGGACGGGUGAGUAAUUCCUAGGAAUCUGCCUGGUAGUGGGGGAUAACGUCCGGAAACGGGCGCUAAUACCGCAUACGUCCUGAGGGUGAAAGUGGGGGAUCUUCGGACCUCACGCUAUCAGAUGAGCCUAGGUCGGAUUAGCUAGUUGGUGGGGUAAAGGCCUACCAAGGCGACGAUCCGUAACUGGUCUGAGAGGAUGAUCAGUCACACUGGAACUGAGACACGGUCCAGACUCCUACGGGAGGCAGCAGUGGGGAAUAUUGGACAAUGGGCGAAAGCCUGAUGCAGCCAUGCCGCGUGUGUGAAGAAGGUCUUCGGAUUGUAAAGCACUUUAAGUUGGGAGGAAGGGCAGUAAGUUAAUACCUUGCUGUUUUGACGUUACCAACAGAAUAAGCACCGGCUAACUUCGUG
Molecule: ribosomal RNA, 484 nt
Filed under: uncultured bacterium
Lineage: Bacteria
Description: partial 16S ribosomal RNA
Rfam family: Bacterial small subunit ribosomal RNA
Source: RNAcentral